AUUGAACGCUGGCGGCAUGCCUUACACAUGCAAGUCGAACGGCAGCACGGGAGCAAUCCUGGUGGCGAGUGGCGAACGGGUGAGUAAUAUAUCGGAACGUGCCCAGUCGUGGGGAUAACGUAGCGAAAGCUACGCUAAUACCGCAUACUAUCUAUGGAUGAAAGCGGGGGAUCGCAAGACCUCGCGCGAUUGGAGCGGCCGAUAUCAGAUUAGGUAGUUGGUGAGGUAAAGGCUCACCAAGCCGACGAUCUGUAGCUGGUCUGAGAGGACGACCAGCCACACUGGGACUGAGACACGGCCCAGACUCCUACGGAGGCAGCAGUGGGGAAUUUUGGACAAUGGGCGCAAGCCUGAUCCAGCAAUGCCGCGUGCAGGAUGAAGGCC
This 384-nucleotide ribosomal RNA is filed under the name uncultured bacterium. RNAcentral's name for it is "bacterial SSU rRNA". It matches the Rfam family "Bacterial small subunit ribosomal RNA", at positions 30 to 416 of the family's 1533-position model. The record is from RNAcentral.